CAGGACAACUCGUUCAUUGUGUCCCCCUGGAAGAACAGGUAAAUUUGCAUAAUGCUUUCUAUAUUAUUGUUACUACUAAAAUUAUUUUUUAAAUGAUGACUGGACAGUACCCUAAAAUGGUUGACUUACAGCUGUAUAAUUCCUGCACUUGGGGAGUUUCGUGCCUAAUAAAGCAGGCAUUAUAAAUUUGGAAUGAGAUAAUACCACUAAAGUUAUGAAGGUAUAAAACAUGCAAAUCAUAGGAUGAUUUUAGGUAUUAAAAAAGGAAGGGCAUAGCAAGUUGUGUGGGCUUGAGACAUUGCAUCUUAGGUAUGUUCAUUUCCCAGACAUUGCCAGCCAAAGUAAUCUUUCUUACAGAAGACUAAAACCAGGCAUUUCUGAGGGAAGGAAGGAAAAAGGCUGGACGUCUUGAAGGCAUCAUCAGAACCUUACUUUGGGAGAAGGCUUAGUAAUGAAAGAGGAAUGGUUGGGAGCCCUGGGCAUGGAGGUGACUUGCUGGAGGAGAAUAUGGUAGACUGGAGAGGGUUAAGAGACAGAGCAGAUAGGGCAAAGUGAGCUUUCCCCAUGGACUGUGAACCUAGGAGAGCCUGCAGGAUAAAGUGUCAAUGAGGAGGAAGUGGAAGUGAUGGGGUCCAUGGGAAAAUAAAGGAAGCAGCCCCAGUGUUCUACUGUGUGGUUAUUGACCAUAGGCUUUCUUAGGAAGUUUCAGAGCCAUGUAAAGGCAGAUGGAAAGUCUUAAUUUUCAGAAAUCAGAGGACCAGACAGAAGAGGCCACAAUAAUUCAGGUGAAUGACUGCCAGGUCCUUCCCUGAGACUGUAGGUGUGAGGUGAGGGGAAAAAAAAAAAGCCAUAAAGUUAAUAGAUGCGAAGGAAAUAAUCAACAGAAAAGCAACAGCCUUGACAAAACCCAACACCGUGGAAGAAGGACUCAGAAACAGUAAGGGAUAGGAAGGAAUUAAAAAUUGUUUGAAGAUUUUUGCUUAUUUGAUGGAGGAAUUACAGGUAGAGCCAGACUCAGUGAGGUUAUAGAGUAAAUUCUAGACAGAGGACCAAACAUACUCAUUGCAUGGUUUUCCUUCUGAAUCUGGAAUGAAGAAAGAGAAAAAGGCUGUUUCUUUACACUUUGAUUUAUACCAUUCAUUUUAAAUCCAGGAUCACAGAGUAUUAACAUCUACUAACAUGUGGAAGUUACAUGAAGCUAAAAGCACCUUUUAAUCCCCUGGCUCCCACACGCUGGAGUUCUUUGAGCCCAUAUCAUUCAGCAUUGUUUCGGGAGACACGGCGGAGAGAAACUGCUGUCUGUGUGGUAACCAAAGGCAGAGACUUUGUAUUACUGAACCUCAGAUUGAAUCUUGACUGUGGUUCUGUUCUAGUGAAUAGAGCAGAAACAGAAAUGAAUCACUUGUCUCCAGAAAUUGUCAUUCUGACUUUGCUUUUGGAGACACUGGCAUGUGUACUGUGGCUGGAACAAUUCUGCUUUGAUUUGUUGUCAAAUACUUGAUAUUGGCCUUUGAAAGAGAAGGAAAAUAUUGUGUGAUUCAAAUGGGCUUUUCAUUUGAAAAAAGAAGACUGUGGAUAAACUCUCUCUUCUAAUUAUUACCACAUUUUUUUUUUGUCUUUUUAGGGCCCCACCUGCAGCAUAUGGAGGUUCCCAGGCUAGGGGUCGAAUUGGCGCUGUCGCCGCCAGCCUACGCCACAGCCACAGCAACGCUUUAACCCACUGAGCAAGGCCAGGGAUUGAACCUGCAUCUUCGUGGAUACUAGACAGAUUCUUUCUGCUGUGCCACAAUGGGAACUCUUCACAGAGCAUUUUUGUAUAUAAUAUCCUAAAUCUUAGGAAAUAUAACAGGAUUUUAGUCUAGCUGGAAAUUCUGGAAGAGAAACUUAUCAGGUAGAAGCCCCUCAUGUCAAAGUUACUAUGAAGGCUGAACCUGGAGGAAGGAUUUUGAAGGUCAAGAAGGCUAGGUAGUGACAAAGCCAGGAGAAUUUCAAUUCUCUUUGUAUCCAGAUGAGCCUCUUUUUACGCCCUGCUGUCCCUUCCAAGUGUAGGAGAUUCUAAAUGGUUAAAAACUAGUUGCACAUAUAAUUGCCACUGACCAGUAAAUCAUAUCUCAUAUUUGAUGUCUCAUAAUGUGACCACACACCUUAUCACAAAAGCAUUAUUCCAAAACAUAGCAUAAGCACUCAAGUCAUGAUUGAUAGGGUUUAAAUAGGAAUUAAGGAAGAU
Molecule: long non-coding RNA, 2227 nt
Filed under: Sus scrofa (pig)
Lineage: Eukaryota; Metazoa; Chordata; Mammalia; Artiodactyla; Suidae
Description: lncRNA (ENSSSCG00015004326.1)
Source: RNAcentral